Molecule: ribosomal RNA, 1772 nt
Filed under: Thalassiosira profunda
Lineage: Eukaryota; Bacillariophyta; Thalassiosirophyceae; Thalassiosirales; Thalassiosiraceae
Description: SSU rRNA
Rfam family: Bacterial small subunit ribosomal RNA
Source: RNAcentral
GAAUUGAGUUUGAUCCUGGCUCAGGGUGAACGCUAAUAAUAUGCUUUACACAUGCGAGUUACACGGUAUUAUAUCGUAGCGAACGGGUGAGAAAUACGCAAUCGCUCAGUUUUUUGAACUUAAAAGCGUUGGCUCGGCCCAAUGCCUAAAUGUUAAAAAUAAGCCUAUUAUGUUCGAGUGCUUUAUUUUUAGCAGCAAAAUAUUAAUGUUUCUUUGAUAAUUAGUAUCGAAGUCAGUUCAAAAUAACUAGCAGUCUCUAGCUUUUACUUUAAGAUAAACUAUACCUACUAAAAUUUUAAAUUUUUUUAGGGUAAAACUAUUUUUUUAGUUUGUAGUAAUAUUAAAUACAAAGAUUAUAAAAAUGAUGCCUUCAGACAUCAACGCAUGGUCGUAGACAGUAUCUAAAGACAUCUAUAAUCGGUAAAAGAUGAGUUUGUGUAAGAUUAGGUUGUUGGUAUAAGUAACAGUUUACCAAGCCUUUGAUCUUUAGUUGGUCUUAGAGGACGUACAACCACACUGGAACUGAGACAAGGUCCAGGCUACAUUUAGCCAGCAGUGAGGAAUAUUGGACAAUGAACGAAAGUUUGAUCCAGCAAUAUUAUGUGAAUGAUUAUAUUAUUUAUAUUAUGUAAAUAAUUGACGGCUAAUUUUUGGUUGUAAAGUUCUUUCGUUAAAAAUGAUAAUGACGUUAUUUAAAGAAGUUUUAGUCCCGGCCAAUCUCGUGCCAGCAGCCGCGGUAAUACGGGAGGGGCAAGCGUUAUCCGUCAUUACUGGGCGUAUAGAGUCCGUAGAUGGUACUAUAAGUUAUAUGUUAAAAUUUAAAGCUCAACUUUAAAAAAAGAUACAAUACUAUUUUACUAGAGUUUAAUACGGAAGAGUAGAAUUUCAUGUUAAGGGGUAAAUUCCAAAAAUACAUGAAGGAACACCACCAGCGAAAGCAACUCUUUAGUAUAAACUGACAUUGAGGGACGAAAGUGUAGGGAGCAAACAGGAUUAGAUACCCUGGUAGUCUACACUGUAAAUUCUGGAUGCUGUAAUUUAGAAAAAAUUUUAGAUUUUUUAAGCUAACGCGAUAAGCAUUCCGCCUGAGGAGUACGAUCCCAAGAUUAGAACUCAAAGGAAUUGACGGGAGCCUACAACGAGUGGUGGAGCAUGUGGUUUAAUGCGAUAAUCCGCGCAAAACCUUACCAACCCUUGACAUACUGAAAAAAUUCAUUUAAUUUUUACAUUACAGGUGUUGCACGACUGUCGUCAGCUCGUGUCGUAAGAUGUUUGGUUUAUUCCUUUUAACGAGCGCAACUCUCUUUUUUAAUAAUUCACUUUCAAUUAUAAUCUUUAGGAUUUCCUAUAAAAUUAUAAUUCUGCUUUAAAAAAACUGUUAUAAUCUAAUAAUAAAAUUUAAAAGGAAGGUGAGAAUUAAGUCAAGUCACUGUGGCCCUUAUGGGUUGGGCUACACACGUGCUACAAUGAAAAUGACAAAAAGUAACAAAAAUAAAAAUCUUUAGUUAAUCUUUAAAAAUUUUCUUAGUUCGGAUUGUAAACUGCAACUCGUUUACAUGAAGGUGGAAUCACAAGUAAUCGCAAAUCAGAACGUUGCGGUGAAUACGUACCUUGGCUUUGUACACACCGCCCGUCACAUGCAGAAAGCUAGUUUUACUUGAAGAUUUAAAACUUUUUCUAUUUAAAAAAUAAAAAAAGUGAAUUCGUUGAAAAGUUAGCAAUUUGGAUGAAGUCGUAACAAGGUAGCUGUACGGGAACGUGUAGCUGGAACA